This 430-nucleotide ribosomal RNA is filed under the name Pseudomonadota bacterium. RNAcentral describes it as "Proteobacteria bacterium partial 16S ribosomal RNA". It matches the Rfam family "Bacterial small subunit ribosomal RNA", at positions 355 to 776 of the family's 1533-position model. Lineage: Bacteria; Pseudomonadati; Pseudomonadota. The record is from RNAcentral.
UGGGGAAUAUUGGACAAUGGGGGGAACCCUGAUCCAGCCAUGCCGCGUGUGUGAAGAAGGCCUUAUGGUUGUAAAGCACUUUAAGCGAGGAGGAGGGUACUGGUAUUAAUACUACCAGCUACUGGACGUUACUCGCAGAAUAAGCACCGGCUAACUCUGUGCCAGCAGCCGCGGUAAUACAGAGGGUGCGAGCGUUAAUCGGAUUUACUGGGCGUAAAGCGUGCGUAGGCGGCUAAUUGAGUCGGAUGUGAAAUCCCCGAGCUUAACUUGGGAAUUGCAUUCGAUACUGGUUAGCUAGAGUGUGGGAGAGGAUGGUAGAAUUCCAGGUGUAGCGGUGAAAUGCGUAGAGAUCUGGAGGAAUACCGAUGGCGAAGGCAGCCAUCUGGCCUAACACUGACGCUGAGGUACGAAAGCAUUGGGAGCAAACAGG